RNAcentral lists this ribosomal RNA (497 nucleotides) under uncultured bacterium. RNAcentral's name for it is "partial 16S ribosomal RNA". It matches the Rfam family "Bacterial small subunit ribosomal RNA", at positions 38 to 507 of the family's 1533-position model. The record is from RNAcentral.
GGGGGGGGGGGGGGGGGGGGGGGGGGGGGGGGGGGGGGGGGGGGGGGCGGGGAGGGGGGUGCGCGGAGGUUAGGGGGGGGCGGGUGAGUAAGACGGGGAUAACCUGCCUAGAAGGCUGGGAGAACUGCGGGAAACCGGAGCUAAUACCGGAUGAUAGUUUGAACCGCAUGGUUCCAAAGGGAAAGACGGUCUUGGUGUCACUUAUAGAUGGAUCCGCGCUGCAUUAGCUAGUUGGUAAGGUAACGGCUUACCAAGGCAACGAUGCAUAGCCGACCUGAGAGGGUGAUCGGCCACACUGGAACUGAGACACGGUCCAGACUCCUACGGGAGGCAGCAGUAGGGAAUCUUCCGCAAUGGGCGAAAGCCUGACGGAGCAACGCCGCGUGAGUGAUGAAGGUCUUCGGAUCGUAAAACUCUGUUAUUAGGGAAGAACAUAUGUGUAAGUAACUGUGCACAUCUUGACGGUACCUAAUCAGAAAGCCACGGCUAACUACGUG